Molecule: long non-coding RNA, 2229 nt
Organism: Struthio camelus australis
Lineage: Eukaryota; Metazoa; Chordata; Aves; Struthioniformes; Struthionidae
Source: Ensembl
GGGUACGUGUUCCCAACUGAAGAGGUGCAAGAGAAAAUUCAGGACAAGGCUCAGCCUUAGCGAGUCAGACAUCCGUGUCCAUGCCACCGCUUGCUGUGUACUGCAGAGUCUUUGCAAGGCCAAAGGGGAAACUUCCAGAGAAGUCGCAGGAGGUGAACAGUCGCAGGAGUGCCAGCAGAUUUUUGAGCAGCUGGAUAUAAGACAACAACUAGCUCCCACCAUAGUGCCAUUUGACUUGAGAGAGCAAUUCGUUGCUGAAUUGCUAUUUGCAAACAGGAAUCCAGUUUUACACUCUGAACUGUCCCCAGGAACUGGAGGUGGGAGGGUGCCGAGCUUUGUGAGCAGCAGAACUCGUAAUUGUACAAUUAAUUGAAAAAGAAGUCUCAGAAGAGUUUUCAAAGGAGUUUUGGCAGUUUUGAUCAAGAGCACAGUCCUGUGCAAAAGGAGCACCAUGAGAUCAGGACAAAGUUGAUAUGGAACAGGAGCAAGAAAAAGUUGAGAGUGUAGACUGAAACACUGUUUUUUGUUCUGUGGUGAAAAACUGGUAAGUCUAGCUAUCCUAAAUCUUCUGGUCGCGUGCUAGCAAUUGGCUUUAAAAUAAGCAAAAUAUGUUCAAUGAUUAUUCAAAGUACAAGUGAGAGAUAUUUCACUACACUCUUCAGAGGUGUAGUCAGUUCUCGUAUACUGUGUAAACACUUGCUGUAUGCACUAUCUGACUAAAUCUGGAAUGGCUGUGAUAAGACUGGUGCUAAUACAAGGCACUGUUUUUCAUUAUUGCUAAUGCACUUGGUAUAUUAGAAAUAGUGCGUGAAGACCGUUACAGGUGAAUCCAGGAGGGGGACAAAAGAGUAUCGUAAGACUUCAGUCUUCACCAGAAGGACGCUAAGAUAUUUUGUUUCAGUAUCAGUGACACAUGUGAGAGUGUGUAAGUUAAUUUACAGGAAUCUGAAUAGCAUUUAAACUGCUCAUUUUGUUUCUGCUAAUGUUGGGACCACAGUUAUUCAGUAAGUCAUUUACAAGAACAACCAUAAGAUGUCAGAAUUUCCCCAUGUUCAAGGUAAAUUGUCUGGAAAACUGGUUGUAGUUUGUACAGUCAAAUUCUACUGUCAUUUACAGAAUAAUUGCAUGUGUUCACAAACUACAAGUCAGGUUCCUGAAAAAUCAUAAUGUUGCCUUAUAUACAAUGAAUUCUUUAAGUAAAUUUUAGCUUUAGAAGAGGUUCAUUUGAUGACUUUUCACACCAGGGAUGAUGUGCAGAAGUAAAUGACAAUGCAUAUUUUUAUUAGAUAACAUAAGAAAGGAGAAUUUAACAAAAUGAUUUCAAAGACUGCAAGAUUCAGAGACAGCUUUAAUGGGGAAGAUCUGAAGGAAUGUAAACCUGCACAUCAUUCCUUGUUUUUUUCUCACCUGCCCUACUCCUGGGACCACUUAUAUAUUAUACCUGGAACAUGAGUGGUGCCAGUACAGGCGUACAAAGGGAAAGGGUCUCCAGAGGUGGCAGCACUGUUUUUUCUGGGUUUGAACUAGGGUAGCAUGAACCCGUGUCUGCAAUAACCCUGUCAUAGCCUGAAUUGUAUCACAGAAGUUGUAUACUGUAUGGUACUGCCCUUCCAAGGCAUGUGCUCUGGGAAGCAUACUGUACCCUUUAUGUCUCCUUUAUGCACAUUUAUUAUUAUUAUUAGUGUCUAUUAAUUUGGCUUAGGACUCUCAGAGCUUCCUCUGCCCCUUACAGAGGGAUCCUAGAAAAUUAUAAUCUCUCUACAGAAUUGUGUAUGAUAAAUUUAAAAUUCUAUUAUAGGAUACAUAAACUAGAACAUGUGGCACCAUGAAGGAAUGAAAUAAUUAAGGAUUUAUUUUUAAUAGGAAUUAAAAAAAAUGAAUUAAUGAAGAAUUAAAUGGACGCUUUUGCCUAAGGUUGACUUAUUAUAAGCAAUGAUUGUCAACUUCUGACACCACAGCUAUUUUAAGACAUCUUUCAAGUUUCAUUUGAGAUACCAACAUCAAGUGCUUUCAAAAUUAUGGUGAUCCAAUGUCAAUGGUAUUGGGUUUAGAAGCUCUAUGUAGGACUUCCCCUGAUAAGCUAUUCCAUAUUAGAGAUAGUAACAGCCAUUGGAUGUUCCAAAGUAGGCAUGUUAAUGAACCCCAUUGAGUUAGUUAAGGAAAGUAAUCAAUGCUAAUAUCAUUUAAAGUUUGAAUAAACUGUUUCAUGAACUUUUAUAAGGCCUAAAU